RNAcentral lists this ribosomal RNA (433 nucleotides) under uncultured bacterium. Its description in RNAcentral is "partial 16S ribosomal RNA". It matches the Rfam family "Bacterial small subunit ribosomal RNA", at positions 29 to 507 of the family's 1533-position model. The record is from RNAcentral.
AACGAACGCUGGCGGCAUGCCUAACACAUGCAAGUCGAACGAGACCUUCGGGUCUAGUUGCGCACGUGUGCGUAACGCGUGGGAAUCUGCCCUUCGGUUGGGAAUAACUGAGAUAAAUUUCAGCUAAUACCUUAUAAUGUCUUCGGACCAAAGAUUUAUCGCCGAGGGAUGAGCCCGCGUAGGAUUAGGUAGUUGGUGGGGUAAUGGCCUACCAAGCCGACGAUCCUUAGCUGGUCUGAGAGGAUGAUCAGCCACACUGGGACUGAGACACGGCCCAGACUCAUACGGGAGGCAGCAGUAGAGAAUAUUGGACGAUGAGCGAAAACCUGAUCCAGCAAUGCCGCGUGAGUGAUGAAGGCGUUAGGAUACUAAAGCUCUUUUCACCGGGGUGAUAAUGAACGUACCGGGGGAAUAAGCUCCGGCUAACUCCGUG